AUUGCACGUAAUUCUAGUUUUCUUUGGCCGAAAAAGGCAAAAAAUGAGGAACUAUCAUGACGGGGCAGUGACUACGGUUCCUUAGGUCAUAUUUGAUGGCCCGAAAAAUUUUAGGUGAUCCGGGGUCCGGGGGUUCCGGGACCACUUGGAAGGCGUGGGCUAUAACACACGAAAAUAUGGGAAUCGGGCGAAAUUCUAGUUUUUUGGCCGAAAAAUGCAAAAAAUGAGGAACGAUCAUGGUGGGGCAGUGACUAAGGUUCCUUAGGUCAUAUUUGAAGGCCCGGAAAAAUUUUAGGCGAUCGGGGUCCGGGGUUCCCGGGACCACUUGGAAGGCGUGGGUAUAGCACACGAAAAUAUGGAAAUCGGGCGGAAUUCUAGGUUUUUGGCUGAAAAACGCAAAAAAUGAGGAACGAUUAUCGCGGGGCGGUGACUAUGGUUUUUUAGGUCGUAUUUGAUGGCCCGAAAAAUUUUUAGACGAUCGGGGUCCGGGGUUCCCG
RNAcentral lists this long non-coding RNA (497 nucleotides) under Nicotiana tabacum (common tobacco). Its description in RNAcentral is "long non-coding RNA (NTAB_LNC006306)". The record is from RNAcentral. Lineage: Eukaryota; Viridiplantae; Streptophyta; Magnoliopsida; Solanales; Solanaceae.